Molecule: ribosomal RNA, 459 nt
Filed under: uncultured bacterium
Lineage: Bacteria
Description: partial 16S ribosomal RNA
Rfam family: Bacterial small subunit ribosomal RNA
Source: RNAcentral
CCUACGGGAGACAGCAGUGAGGAAUAUUGGUCAAUGGGCGCGAGCCUGAACCAGCCAAGUAGCGUGAAGGAUGACUGCCCUAUGGGUUGUAAACUUCUUUUAUAUGGGAAUAAAGUGCAGUAUGUAUACUGUUUUGCAUGUACCUUAUGAAUAAGGAUCGGCUAACUCCGUGCCAGCAGCCGCGGUAAUACGGGGGAUCCGAGCGUUAUCCGGAUUUAUUGGGUUUAAAGGGAGCGUAGGGGGGUUGUUAAGUGAGUUGUGAAAGUUUGCGGCUAAACCGUAAAAUUGCAGUUGAUACUGCAUCCUUGAGUACAGUAGAGGUAGGCGGAAUUCGUGGUGUAGCGGUGAAAUGCUUAGAUAUCACGAAGAACUCCGAUUGCGAAGGCAGCUUGCUGGACUGUAACUGACGCUGAGGCUCGAAAGUGUGGGUAUCAAACAGGAUUAGAUACCCCGGUAGUC